Molecule: ribosomal RNA, 497 nt
Filed under: uncultured bacterium
Lineage: Bacteria
Description: partial 16S ribosomal RNA
Rfam family: Bacterial small subunit ribosomal RNA
Source: RNAcentral
GAUGAACGCUGGCGGCGUGCCUAAUACAUGCAAGUCGAGCGAACGGACGAGAAGCUUGCUGCGCGGAUGUUAGCGGAGGACGGGUGAAUAACACGUGGAUAACCUACCUAUAAGACUGGGAUAACUUCGAGAAACCGUAGCUAAUACCGGAUAAUAUUUUGAACCACAGGGGUGAAAAGUGAAAGACGGUCGUGCGGUCAGUAAUAGAUGGAUCCCCGCUGCAUUAGCUAGUUGGUGAGGUAAAGGCUUACCAAGGCAACGAUGCAUAGCCGACCUGAGAGAGUGGUCGGCGACAUUGGAGCGGAGCCGCGGUCCAGACUCCUACGGGAGGCAGCAGUCGCGAACCUUCCGCAAUGGUCGAAAGCCUGACAGAGCAACGCGGCGCGAGUUAUGAAGGUGUUCGGAUCGUAAAGCUCUGUUAUUAGGGGAGAACCUAUGUGUCCGUAACUGUGCACAUCUUGACGGUACCUGGUCAGAAAGCCCCGGCUAACUACGUG